UAAAUUAGGGAAUCUUCCACAAUGGACGAAAGUCUGAUGGAGCAACGCCGCGUGAGUGAAGAAGGGUUUCGGCUCGUAAAACUCUGUUGUUGAAGAAGAACAUAUCUGAGAGUAACUGUUCAGGUAUUGACGGUAUUUAACCAGAAAGCCACGGCUAACUACGUG
Molecule: ribosomal RNA, 165 nt
Filed under: uncultured Lactobacillus sp.
Lineage: Bacteria; Bacillati; Bacillota; Bacilli; Lactobacillales; Lactobacillaceae
Description: partial 16S ribosomal RNA
Rfam family: Bacterial small subunit ribosomal RNA
Source: RNAcentral